UCAAACUCGAUUGAUUCAAACUGCAAAGGUAGUCGACUCCCUCAAACUCAAAAAUUCGCCAAAAAUUCUUUAUUAUUCCAAAUCAAUCGAGUCUUAUCUUGUCGGAAAUCUAACAAAAAAAACUACAACUAUUCAGAAUCUCAAAUUAAAAUAAAAGAAAUUGAGUGACUGAUUGAAGAAAAUCCAAGGCUCUUGAAACCCUUGGGAUAUUUGAAAGGCCGAGGAGAUAUCUACCUCAAUGAAACAUAUUU
Molecule: long non-coding RNA, 251 nt
Filed under: Physcomitrium patens
Lineage: Eukaryota; Viridiplantae; Streptophyta; Bryopsida; Funariales; Funariaceae
Description: long non-coding RNA (PPAT_LNC000690)
Source: RNAcentral